This 75-nucleotide transfer RNA is filed under the name Candidatus Peregrinibacteria bacterium. RNAcentral describes it as "tRNA-Phe". It matches the Rfam family "tRNA". Rfam says of the family: Transfer RNA (tRNA) molecules are approximately 80 nucleotides in length. Their secondary structure includes four short double-helical elements and three loops (D, anti-codon, and T loops). Lineage: Bacteria; Candidatus Peregrinibacteriota. The record is from RNAcentral.
GCCGGGGUAGCUCAGUGGUAGAGCACUGGAUUGAAAAUCCAGGUGUCGGCAGUUCAAUCCUGCCCCCCGGCACCA